UCUAUAAAUAUUUAGGUAGUAAAACAAAUUAAAACCCUAUAAAAUGGCGGUCAUAACUUAUUAAAGAAACUCGCUUUAUAAUCGUCACCCCCCGUUAAAUUUAACUUAAUUAAACAGUUUAUAUACCGCCGUUUAAGAUUACAUUUACUAAUUAUAUUCUCAUCCCUAAAUAGCCAAAAAUCAGGUCAAGGUGUAGCUCACAAUUAAGGAAAAGUAAGUUACAUUAAAAACAAUUUAAGAAUUAAUUUUCCUAAGAAAACCUGAAAAAGAAUUUAUUUGUACAUUAGGAUUAAAAAUCAAAAUAGAAUAAAAUAGUUAAAGACGC
RNAcentral lists this ribosomal RNA (325 nucleotides) under Metagonia sp. Br11-11. Its description in RNAcentral is "partial 12S ribosomal RNA". The record is from RNAcentral. Lineage: Eukaryota; Metazoa; Arthropoda; Arachnida; Araneae; Pholcidae.